UCGGAUAUAGCAGAGAUACUUUAGUGCCUUCGGGAACUCUGAGACAGGUGCUGCAUGGCUGUCGUCAGCUCGUGUUGUGAAAUGUUGGGUUAAGUCCCGCAACGAGCGCAACCCUUAUCCUUUGUUGCCAGCACGUAAUGGUGGGAACUCAAAGGAGACUGCCGGUGAUAAACCGGAGGAAGGUGGGGAUGACGUCAAGUCAUCAUGGCCCUUACGAGUAGGGCUACACACGUGCUACAAUGGCAUAUACAAAGAGAAGCGAACUCGCGAGAGCAAGCGGACCUCAUAAAGUAUGUCGUAGUCCGGAUUGGAGUCUGCAACUCGACUCCAUGAAGUCGGAAUCGCUAGUAAUCGUAGAUCAGAAUGCUACGGUGAAUACGUUCCCGGGUCUUGUAACACACCGA
This 404-nucleotide ribosomal RNA is filed under the name Ewingella sp. ZYQ-2015-9. Its description in RNAcentral is "bacterial SSU rRNA". It matches the Rfam family "Bacterial small subunit ribosomal RNA", at positions 991 to 1393 of the family's 1533-position model. Lineage: Bacteria; Pseudomonadati; Pseudomonadota; Gammaproteobacteria; Enterobacterales; Yersiniaceae. The record is from RNAcentral.